RNAcentral lists this ribosomal RNA (844 nucleotides) under Klebsiella quasipneumoniae. RNAcentral's name for it is "bacterial SSU rRNA". It matches the Rfam family "Bacterial small subunit ribosomal RNA", at positions 65 to 888 of the family's 1533-position model. The record is from RNAcentral. Lineage: Bacteria; Pseudomonadati; Pseudomonadota; Gammaproteobacteria; Enterobacterales; Enterobacteriaceae.
AGCGGUAGGCACAGAGAAGCUUGCUCUCGGGUGACGAGCGGGCGGGACGGGUGAAGUAAUGUCUGGGAAACUGCCUGAUGGAGGGGGAUAACUACUGAAAACGGUAGCUAAUUCCGCAUAAUGUCGCAAGACCAAAGAGGGGGGGCCUUCGGGCCUCAUGCCAUCAGAAGUGCCCAGAUGGGGAUUAGCUAGUAGGUGGGGUAACGGCUCACCUAGGGCGACGAUCCCCUAGCUGGUCUGAGAGGGAUGACCACCCACACUGGAAACAAGAACACGGUCCAGACUCCUACGGGGAGGCAGCAAGGGGGGUAAUAUUUGCACAAUGGGGGCAAGCCUGAUGCAGCCAUGCCGCGUGUAUGAAGAAGGCCUUCGGGUUGUAAAGCACUUUCAGCGGGGAGGAAGGCGGUGAGGUUAAUAACCUCGUCGAUUGACGUUACCCGCAGAAGAAGCACCGGCUAACUCCGUGCCAGCAGCCGCGGUAAUACGGAGGGUGCAAGCGUUAAUCGGAAUUACUGGGCGUAAAGCGCACGCAGGCGGUCUGUCAAGUCGGAUGUGAAAUCCCCGGGCUCAACCUGGGAACUGCAUUCGAAACUGGCAGGCUAGAGUCUUGUAGAGGGGGGUAGAAUUCCAGGUGUAGCGGUGAAAUGCGUAGAGAUCUGGAGGAAUACCGGUGGCGAAGGCGGCCCCCUGGACAAAGACUGACGCUCAGGUGCGAAAGCGUGGGGAGCUAACAGGAUUAGAUACCCUGGUAGUCCACGCCGUAACCCCUCAUUUGGAGGUUGUGCCCUUGAGGCGUGGCUUCCGGAGCUAACGCGUUAAGUCGACCGCCCUGGAAUUCCCCCCG